CAGUCGCCGCGGUAAUACGGAGGGUGCAAGCGUUAAUCGGAAUUACUGGGCGUAAAGCGUGCGUAGGCGGUUCGUUAAGUCUGUUGUGAAAGCCCCGGGCUCAACCUGGGAAUGGCAAUGGAUACUGGCGAGCUAGAGUGUGUCAGAGGAUGGUGGAAUUCCCGGUGUAGCGGUGAAAUGCGUAGAGAUCGGGAGGAACAUCAGUGGCGAAGGCGGCCAUCUGGGGCAACACUGACGCUGAGGCACGAAAGCGUGGGGAGCAAACAGGAUUAGAUACCCCGGUAGUCCCUGUCUCUUAUAC
This 301-nucleotide ribosomal RNA is filed under the name uncultured bacterium. Its description in RNAcentral is "partial 16S ribosomal RNA". It matches the Rfam family "Bacterial small subunit ribosomal RNA", at positions 509 to 807 of the family's 1533-position model. The record is from RNAcentral.